Molecule: ribosomal RNA, 113 nt
Filed under: Hoylesella buccalis
Lineage: Bacteria; Pseudomonadati; Bacteroidota; Bacteroidia; Bacteroidales; Prevotellaceae
Also listed under: 7 other names
Source: RNAcentral
UCAGGUGGUUAUGGCGGCAGGGUUCCACCUCUUCCCAUUCCGAACAGAGAAGUUAAGCCUGCUUGCGCCGAUGGUACUGCAAUGCAAUGCGGGAGAGUAGGUAGCCGCCUUUU